RNAcentral lists this long non-coding RNA (1423 nucleotides) under Pan troglodytes (chimpanzee). Its description in RNAcentral is "long non-coding RNA NONPTRT007128". The record is from RNAcentral. Lineage: Eukaryota; Metazoa; Chordata; Mammalia; Primates; Hominidae.
CUGAAAAACUGACAGUGGGUGAUCAAAUUUCUAGGCAGAAGCAGCUGCAUGCACAAAACUAAAGAGACAUGAAAAUAACAUGUUACGUCUGGAAAACUGUAAAUAGGUCAGUAUUUCUAGAGCAAGAAGAGGGAAGCACAUAAUGGCCAAGAGAUGAAGCUGGAUAGUUACAUAGAGCCCAUUUAUGGAUCUUGCAUGCCCCACUGAGGAACUUAAACUUUAUCUGUAUUUGACAGGGAUCAGCAUCACUUGAACCCAGGAGGUAGAGGUUACAGUGAGCCGAGAUCAAUCCACUACACUCCAGCCCAGGCGACAGAGCAAGACUCCAUCUCAAAAAAAGAAAUAAUCUUAGACUGAGUCUCACUCUGUCGCCCAGGCUGGAGUGCAGUGGCAGGAUUUCACUGCAACCUCCAACUCCUGGGUUCAAGCGAUGCUCCUGCCUCAGCCUCCCAAGUAGCUGGGAUUACAGGUGCCCACCACCACGCGCCUCUUUUGGUUCCUGACCUUCCAGAGUCAGAAAGCUGAUGAGGUUCCAGACUAAAUUGAAUUUCCUUGUCAGGUUGCUAAGCAGGAUACAGGAAUCCUGUGGUCUAGCCUGAUCCAUCCAGCCUCUUCCCUUACCCAUUUAGCUCUGUCUACUCAGACCUGUGGGUGAGAUGGCCUGGAGAAAAUGGUGAAGGGUCGUCAGCUGGGCAAGGAAGAGAGCGAACAGGUGGCAAGAGAGAGAGAAGAGCAGAGUUGGAUUCCAAAUGAGACCAAAUCAUUUUAUAUAGAAGAGAGACACAGUCAAUCUUCUGUUUUGGAAAGGUCACCAAAUUAUCAGUUUAUGCUGAUAAACUGGAGGCAGAGAGACCCUCUAAGAACUUCGUAAUAAAUGGUCAGUGCUGGAAAUAACCCAGACACCACUAGUAGGGAUGGACUCGGUAGAUCUGUAGACUUUGGUUGAGUGAGUGUAUGGUAGAUAAUGAAUUAGAGAAAGUAAGAUAACUCACAGGUUUCUGACUUGAAAAACUAGCUAGAUGGGUGGCACUACUAGUCAAUACAAGGAAGAUGGAAGAGUAGGAUGGAUGGAGUAACAGGCAAAUCUCUUUUGAAUAUGUCUUUUAUAUAUCCAGGGUAGUGAUAUUUAAUAGCAUAUAUAAGAGAAUCUGAAAAUUAAAAGGUCAGUAGUGAUAAUUAGUGUGGAGUAAGGGGAUGAGUAGCACAGUUAAUGGGAAGGUACUGGUAGGGGGUGUCUUUAAUUUUUAAUUUUAAGGAUGGCAGAGAUUUGAAUAUAUUUAAAUGCUAAGGGGAGGCCAACGUGGUGGCUCACAUGUGUAAUCCUAACACUUUGGGAGGCUGAAGUGGGCAGGUCACUUGAUGCUAGGAGUUCGAGACCAGCCUGGCCAACAUAGCAAAAUUCUGUCUCUACUAAAAGUACAAA